This 2181-nucleotide long non-coding RNA is filed under the name Brachypodium distachyon (stiff brome). Its description in RNAcentral is "long non-coding RNA (BDIS_LNC000795)". Lineage: Eukaryota; Viridiplantae; Streptophyta; Magnoliopsida; Poales; Poaceae. The record is from RNAcentral.
UGGGCUUGGCACUUUGAAGAGAAGGGGCAUGAACCACAAUCUUCAUACACCUUGAUCAUGUUACGGACCUUUUACAACUGAAAUUGGAAAGUAGUGAUAGGUUCAGGAAGUGCAUCGAGAAGGCUAAUCUAAAAUCUCAAGCUGGUUCCUCAAAAAAAAGAAAAAUAAGCCCUCCAGUUGGCGCUACUGCUGGUGCAGGAGAGCAGAAUAUUCUCGCGGCAGAUGUAAGUUCGGUAAAAUCAGCCGAUGUCCCUCCAGUUGGCGCUACUGCUUGUGCAGGAGAGCAGAACGAUCUCGCGGCAGAUGUAAGUUUGGAGGGAUCCUUGGUAAAUUCACCUGUCGGAAAUCAAUCGAGCUACCACACAGAAACAGGUGGUAAAUACGCUGUUAUUGAUCCAUUUACAUUUGCAGAAACAGAUGUUUCAGGUCCAGGGCAGAGCGCAUGUAGAGAUGGUUCUACUAUUUCUCAUCAUGUUGAUCCUGCCUCUAACCCCCUCUCAAACUGCACUGUUGUCAAAGAAAAUGGUACAGUCCAUCUACAGGAUCGUAAGGAAUUUUUUCCAAUUUUCAUUGUAGCGAGCUUCUAAAAUAGCAUGACUUCUGAUAUUCAUGUCCUCACGUCUUUGGCAGGAGCACUUCAGGACCAGCUCACCUUAGAUAGAAGGGAUGACUGUGCCACCACAGGUAGUGCACAACUAUCCCCUUAAUUUAAAUUAGUCCCUACCCCAACUUGCUGCUGCUGUUAUUUAUCCAUUUACAUUUGCAUAAACAGAGGUUUCAGAUCCAGGGCAGAGCGCAGGUGGUAACCACGGCAUCGUGAAUUCCCCUGUAGUACCUGAGGUGCACGAAGGUGAUGACCUCUACCUCGUAUCUGAUCAGCACUCACCCCUAAUCUCUCGUCUCUUGGACGAACACACAUGGAAAAAAUGGUCAUGGUACAGGAAACCUAGCUUUCUACACAAUUUUAUUUAUUUGUGAAGUUCUGCAUGGUAUUCCAGAAAGCUUAUAAAUCCUCUGAGUUCAAAUCACAGAUUACCAAAACUCCUGACAACCCAAUUCCAAGUGUCUGAUUAUCAUAACUUUUGAUAUGUGUUUCCUCAUGUUUGUGGCAGCAGAUUACGAGAUAGUAGUUGGUGUCAACCAGGACACCAUGAAUUCCCCUGUGGUGCCCUCCACUGCAUCCUCUAUGGAGAAACAAGAGGAAGAAGGUGACCAAAGCAUUGUGGAUGCACGUGGGGAUACAUCGCCUAACAAUGCUCCCCAGGAUGUAGUACCUGUGGUGCACCAAGCUGUAGUACCUGUGGUUCCCCGAAGGAGGGGGGUUACCACCGGUUUGGGAUGCACUUUCUACGUUGCGAAGCAAAAGGAUAAGAGGCAUCGAUAGGGAAAAAGACUUUGUGUAUGGUUCUGAUCAAGACUACCCCCAGAGUGAAGAAAAAAUAGAAGCAAAGAGAAAUGCUGGAGGCCGCACUAGAAGGAAAAGAAAAUGAUACGAAGGCAAAACAAACAAAGCUGUUAAAUUAAUUUCUAUGGAAUAUAUACCUAGCACCAGUACUUCUGUAUACUUGUGUUGAAGUUGCACUUGUAUCCUUCUGUAUAUCGGCUAAACGCCUGCUACAGUGCUACUACCAACUUCUGUAUACUUGUGUUGUGUUGAAGUUGCACCUGUAUACUUCUGUAUAUCUGGCUAAACGCCUGUACAGUCUGGUGACCUCACUUUGAUCUCCUCCGGCACCGCGCCACCACUCUAGCCUCAUGAGCCACCCCUUCUGUAUAUCAGUCUUCCGCUCCGCCGGCCCCCGUGCGUGAAGCCUUCUGCAGGAGGCGAAGCAGCAACGGGAGGGGAUUCCAAGCACGUGGCGCGCGGGGUGAGGGCGUGGUGCUCAGUGACGGGAGAGUGGCAGCAGUAGACAGCAAGUCCAGCAGCUCUCCAAUCUCCUCUCCUAUAACCUUUAUAGGGGGAAAAGCUCAAAAACCAGGCUCCAGCAGAUCCCCAAUCAUCUCCACGAAAUUUCGGCGUCCCUGAUUCCACUGCCAAUUCCACCCCCCUUCUCCCCUACAGAUCGGGGCGCCCGAGCACUCCCCUAUCCACGGCAGGGAGCAACCAUCGCUCCCAGAUUCUUCCUCCCGCCACCACCCGCGUCAACAGGUUCGUCCCCGUCCUCGUUUGGCAGGUCGCGG